UGGUUCUGGCAUCGAUGAAGAACGCAGCGAAAUGCGAUAAGUAAUGCGAAUUGCAGAGCAGUGAGUCAUCGAAUCUUUGAACGCACAUUGCGCCCUUUGGCAUUCCGAAGGGCAUGCCUGUUCGAGCGUCAUUAUCAACCCUCAAGCCUGGCUUGGUAUUGGAUCUCAUUGUCAUAGAUGGAUCCCAAAGAUAAUGACAGAGUCUGUUAGAUCCUAGAUGCAAUGAGCUUUCACUAGCACGCAUUGAAGGGUUAAUAGGCCUGGUCUUUAAUCACUUUUUCUAUGGUUGACCUCGGAUCAGGUAGGAAUACCCGCUGA
This 318-nucleotide unclassified non-coding RNA is filed under the name uncultured fungus. RNAcentral describes it as "partial contains 5.8S ribosomal RNA and internal transcribed spacer 2". The stretch from base 1 to 131 matches the Rfam family "5.8S ribosomal RNA", at positions 22 to 154 of the family's 154-position model. The record is from RNAcentral. Lineage: Eukaryota; Fungi.